CAGCCGCCGCGGGAAUACGUAGGUGGCAAGCGUUGUCCGGAAUUAUUGGGCGUAAAGGGCUCGCAGGCGGUUUCUUAAGUCUGAUGUGAAAGCCCCCGGCUCAACCGGGGAGGGUCAUUGGAAACUGGGAAACUUGAGUGCAGAAGAGGAGAGUGGAAUUCCACGCGUAGCGGUGAAAUGCGUAGAGAUGUGGAGGAACGCCAGUGGCGAAGGCGACUCUCUGGUCUGUAACUGACGCUGAGGAGCGAAAGCGUGGGGAGUGAACAGGAUUAGAUACCCGUGUAGUCCCUGUCUCUUAUAC
RNAcentral lists this ribosomal RNA (301 nucleotides) under uncultured bacterium. Its description in RNAcentral is "partial 16S ribosomal RNA". It matches the Rfam family "Bacterial small subunit ribosomal RNA", at positions 509 to 807 of the family's 1533-position model. The record is from RNAcentral.